This 305-nucleotide ribosomal RNA is filed under the name uncultured bacterium. RNAcentral's name for it is "bacterial SSU rRNA". It matches the Rfam family "Bacterial small subunit ribosomal RNA", at positions 334 to 635 of the family's 1533-position model. The record is from RNAcentral.
UUGUCCUACGGGGGGCAGCAGUGAGGAAUAUUGGUCAAUGGGCGGGAGCCUGAACCAGCCAAGUCGCGUGAGGGAAGACGGUCCUACGGAUUGUAAACCUCUUUUGCCGGGGAGCAACGGGGUCCUUGCGGGGUCCCAAUGAGAGUACCCGGAGAAAAAGCAUCGGCUAACUCCGUGCCAGCAGCCGCGGUAAUACGGAGGAUCCGAGCGUUAUCCGGAUUUAUUGGGUUUAAAGGGAGCGUAGAUGGGUUGUUAAGUCAGUUGUGAAAGUUUGCGGCUCAACCGUAAAAUUGCAAUUGAUACUG